GACGAACGCUGGCGGCGUGCCUAAUACAUGCAAGUCGUACGCUUCUUUUUCCACCGGAGCUUGCUCCACCGGAAAAAGAAGAGUGGCGAACGGGUGAGUAACACGUGGGUAACCUGCCCAUCAGAAGGGGAUAACACUUGGAAACAGGUGCUAAUACCGUAUAACAAUCGAAACCGCAUGGUUUUGAUUUGAAAGGCGCUUUCGGGUGUCGCUGAUGGAUGGACCCGCGGUGCAUUAGCUAGUUGGUGAGGUAACGGCUCACCAAGGCCACGAUGCAUAGCCGACCUGAGAGGGUGAUCGGCCACAUUGGGACUGAGACACGGCCCAAACUCCUACGGGAGGCAGCAGUAGGGAAUCUUCGGCAAUGGACGAAAGUCUGACCGAGCAACGCCGCGUGAGUGAAGAAGGUUUUCGGAUCGUAAAACUCUGUUGUUAGAGAAGAACAAGGAUGAGAGUAACUGUUCAUCCCUUGACGGUAUCUAACCAGAAAGCCACGGCUAACUACGUGCCAGCAGCCGCGGUAAUACGUAGGUGGCAAGCGUUGUCCGGAUUUAUUGGGCGUAAAGCGAGCGCAGGCGGUUUCUUAAGUCUGAUGUGAAAGCCCCCGGCUCAACCGGGGAGGGUCAUUGGAAACUGGGAGACUUGAGUGCAGAAGAGGAGAGUGGAAUUCCAUGUGUAGCGGUGAAAUGCGUAGAUAUAUGGAGGAACACCAGUGGCGAAGGCGGCUCUCUGGUCUGUAACUGACGCUGAGGCUCGAAAGCGUGGGGAGCAAACAGGAUUAGAUACCCUGGUAGUCCACGCCGUAAACGAUGAGUGCUAAGUGUUGGAGGGUUUCCGCCCUUCAGUGCUGCAGCUAACGCAUUAAGCACUCCGCCUGGGGAGUACGACCGCAAGGUUGAAACUCAAAGGAAUUGACGGGGGCCCGCACAAGCGGUGGAGCAUGUGGUUUAAUUCGAAGCAACGCGAAGAACCUUACCAGGUCUUGACAUCCUUUGACCACUCUAGAGAUAGAGCUUCCCCUUCGGGGGCAAAGUGACAGGUGGUGCAUGGUUGUCGUCAGCUCGUGUCGUGAGAUGUUGGGUUAAGUCCCGCAACGAGCGCAACCCUUAUUGUUAGUUGCCAUCAUUUAGUUGGGCACUCUAGCAAGACUGCCGGUGACAAACCGGAGGAAGGUGGGGAUGACGUCAAAUCAUCAUGCCCCUUAUGACCUGGGCUACACACGUGCUACAAUGGGAAGUACAACGAGUCGCGAAGUCGCGAGGCUAAGCUAAUCUCUUAAAGCUUCUCUCAGUUCGGAUUGUAGGCUGCAACUCGCCUACAUGAAGCCGGAAUCGCUAGUAAUCGCGGAUCAGCACGCCGCGGUGAAUACGUUCCCGGGCCUUGUACACACCGCCCGUCACACCACGAGAGUUUGUAACACCCGAAGUCGGUGAGGUAACCUUUUGGAGCCAGCCGCCUAAGGUGGGAUAGAUGAUUGGGGUGAAG
RNAcentral lists this ribosomal RNA (1485 nucleotides) under Enterococcus durans. Its description in RNAcentral is "16S ribosomal RNA". It matches the Rfam family "Bacterial small subunit ribosomal RNA". The record is from RNAcentral. Lineage: Bacteria; Bacillati; Bacillota; Bacilli; Lactobacillales; Enterococcaceae.